This 251-nucleotide ribosomal RNA is filed under the name uncultured prokaryote. RNAcentral's name for it is "partial 16S ribosomal RNA". It matches the Rfam family "Bacterial small subunit ribosomal RNA", at positions 524 to 774 of the family's 1533-position model. The record is from RNAcentral.
UACGGAGGAUGCGAGCGUUAUCCGGAUUUAUUGGGUUUAAAGGGUGCGUAGGCGGCUUAGUAAGUCAUCGGUGAAAUUUUGCAGCUUAACUGUAACAGUGCCGUUGAUACUGCCAGGCUAGGAUUUGGUUGCUGUGGGUGGAAUGUGUGGUGUAGCGGUGAAAUGCUUAGAUAUCACACAGAAUAUCGAUUGCGAAGGCAGCUCACAAAGCCAAGAUUGACGCUGUGGCACGAAAGUGUGGGGAUCAAACA